RNAcentral lists this ribosomal RNA (492 nucleotides) under uncultured bacterium. RNAcentral describes it as "partial 16S ribosomal RNA". It matches the Rfam family "Bacterial small subunit ribosomal RNA", at positions 29 to 507 of the family's 1533-position model. The record is from RNAcentral.
AGUGAACGCUGGCGGUAGGCCUAACACAUGCAAGUCGAACGGCAGCACAGUAAGCGCUCGUUUCUACUGUUGGCGACUGGCGGAUGGGUGAGGAAUACAUCGCCUUCUACUUUUUCGUGGGGGAUUUCGUAGGGCAACUUCCGCUAAUACCUCAUACUUCCUACGGGUUAAUGCAGGGGAUCUUCGCACUUUUCCUGUUUCUUUUAGCCGAUUUCGGAUUAGCUAGUUGGCUGGGUAAAGUCCCACCAAGGCGACGCUCCGUAGCUGGUCUGAGAGGAUGAUCAGCCACACUGGAACUGAGACACGGUCCAGACUCCUACGGGAGGCAGCAGUGGGGAAUAUUGGACAAUGGGCGAAAGCCUGAUGGAGCAAUGCCGCGUGGGUGAAGAAGGUCUUCGGGUUGUAAAACCCUGUUGUUAGGAAAGAAAAGAAGUAGAAUAAAACGCGGAUGUUCUGACGGUACCUAAAGAAUAAGCAACGGCUAACUACGUG